GUGAACUGAUAAUUCGAGAGGUGGAAUGAUAGGGUAACGCCUUGAAACGCCUCCCCUGAUACUCCGGCAUGCGUCAUCAUGCUGUGAUGAGGUGUGAAGCCCGGUAAAGUCGGCAGAAAGGUGCCGUAACAGAUAACGCUGACGAAACCUGUCCAGAGGUGGACAGCGCACCCCAUAUGCCGGGGGUCUAUAAA
This is a non-coding RNA of Clostridium sp., 194 nucleotides long. The record is from Rfam. Lineage: Bacteria; Bacillati; Bacillota; Clostridia; Eubacteriales; Clostridiaceae.